GAUAACUCUAAACCUUGGAACAUUUCCCCAUAUUCUCACCUGAAUCCUGGCCACUGAUGCAGAGAAAUUUACUCGUCAGACCAUACAGUGGUUUUGUUGUUGUUUGGUUUGGUUUUGUUCUUUGUUUUUGACACAGGGUCUCAGGCUGUCCUCAAAUGGGACACACAAUGUGCUAUGUUCCACUCUUUCAAAGUGCUGUAACUUCCCUCGACUAUUUUAAAUUCUGUGCCAAACUUAAUUCCUAUCCACAAAUGGGGAGAAGCAGGGACUAUGCCCAAGCUAGUGGAAGGAAUAACUCCAGAAAGUAAUAUUCCUGUUUCCUAGGACAGCACUUUUUGCUAGAUAAUGAGUCGCUACAAAAAAAAUUCUUCUCCCUUGAGGAUUUAAGGGCACCCACACAGUUUGCAUCGCUGAAAGUCUGUCUGUCAGAGGCUCCAAACAUUUCCACUCAGAAUACCCUUUGGUCAACUGCUAUCUCACACAUCCAUUACUGAAAAGGCUCACAUGCUCAUACCGAUGGUAGGAGUCGCUCCAACAACCAUGUCCGUUGUAGGGAGAAGGGGCACAGCUCCAGGGAGUUGCUGCCAAGGGAGAAACUGUAAUGUUUCAAACUGGCAGCACUCUGCUCCUUCCACACUCUCUUUCCCUCACAGGGGGAAAGGAUGUGAGGAAACAAGCAGGAGUAAGGCAUGGCCACGACACUCCCACCCACACCCACCCAUCUGCUCUAUAGACCUCACCAGCAUCUUAAAGUGGGAAACCAACUAAACUGUAGCAACCUGACCUUGUCCAUCCCCUUCGCAGAAGUGCACGCAUGCAUCCAAGUGACAGUUGGCUCUCCCCUGCGUUUUCCAAGCACGAUGGAAGAAAACCAGAGGGACACACUGUUGGUCCAAUUAAGGUUUUGUCUCCAUGCCUGGACAUUCAAAAAGAGGAGCAGAUGCCAGGCACCUAAAGGGCACCUCAGACGCACCUCACCAUGGUCACUGUUCAAGACCUACUGCCAACUGGCUACAGGGUGAAACUGGCACUUAGCAGGUCCUAGGUUUGUUCUGGCUUUUGUUUUUGUGCUCGCUGCUAUUCCCAGGCCCCAUUCUUCUCCCAGCUGCUGAUCUGAGAAAUCCUAAUGGAAAAAGGAAGACAUCCAAAAUCCCAGGUGGGCGACUUCAUAACCACAACCUCCAGCAAUUGAGGCGAUCAGUAUUUACACAGCUCUAGUGCUGUGGAUGGCCAGACUGCAAGGCACAGACAGCGUGUCAGCAUGAGGAAUAUUUGGGUACAGGAGGGACUCAAGAGUGCUCCCCACUCCUUCCUGAGCUAAGUGACUCAACCCACUCACUCUCAGGAGAGGAAAAAAAAGAAAGGAAACUGACUCAAAUGAAUCUGAAACUAAAGCAGUCCCCAGUUUCAACUGUGAGAUUCCCCUAAACCAUUACUGCAUCCUCUUUCGUGUUAUAUCUGCUCACAGAGCUGUGAGAUACUAUAGAAGUUCAAGCAUCUAUGUCAGAGGACUCAAGUCACCCUUUUCCCUGAAGUCCAAAGAACUUAAAACAGCGACAAGCGCAUCGACAAAGGUGCCAGAUGACUUAUAUUCUACCUUUGUAAGCAGUGACUGACAGUUGAAAGCAAACAAUAUUACGGGGUGCCUAAUGGAAAAGUGGUGUUCUUGGACUGAAGACCACCACUGCACACAACACCCACUAAGAGCUGCUUUCACAUUGCCGUAUUUGAAUAUGAAGGAUAAAGGACUUGCUUGUGUGUGACCCCCCCCCCAAGGACUAGAUAAUGCUGAAUAAAUACAACAGAAAGUCACAUUGACAUGUAAUCAUAAGGGUGUAAGACUAAGUAAGACAGUCUGAUGUUACCUAUAAAUAUAUAUACAUGCACACCAAAGACUGAAGUAGGUAAGACACACUUGCACUGAAGUUACAUUCCAUCUAAUGUCCACCAGAAAGGUAGAUAUAGAGAUACAACAAUUCACAUAAACAUUGAUUGAGUCAGUCCUUUUCUUUAAACAUAAGUUUGCAACUACUGUGAUAGCAAUUCUGAAUAAAAGCCCAGAGAGGGAGACACUUUCUUUACAAGAAUUAAAUUCUUAAAAUGUGGAUCCAGACUUCAAUAUUAGUUAUUUAUGGGAAGUUUUGAAAUGUAUGCCUUCUGAUCUUACUUCAGUGGUUGCUCUGUGCUCUCUCCUCUCUUCUUCCCAUGCACAUACAAUAGUUUCUUAGAUGUAUACAACUUGUCCCAUCUAAGCUGCUCGGGUAAAGGGUAUAGCCACUGCGUAGAUUUAAAUCCUCUGUGAAAUAAGAUGGUCUCCUGUCACUUUAAUUUUUAUUUACUCUACACCAAAGGUUUUAAGUAUUCUGGAGCUGGAGGUUGAGAGGAAUUGUUUUCCUAGCCUGAAACAGCUCGUUAAUUAUUUAUGUAAGUCAUACUUACAAUGAGGCGUUUGUACACUUUUCUGCACAGUAUAAAUCUAGUUUGCCUCCUAAAAUCCCUUGUGGCCUUUAUUACAUAAGAAAACGAACUAGAUCUGGCGUGGUGGCACACACAUCUGUCUAUAAGCUCAGCACUCAGGAGGCUAAGGUAGCAAGUUUGUGGCCAGCUUGGGCACAGAGCAAGGCAGAGGUGGAAAGGGACCUCACAGCAGUAAUGCCAACCUGGUUAUCAUUCCUCAAGAAUGGAAAAAAAAAAAAAAAAUCAAACACACAACACAGAGGCUCACGUGUGUGGUUUUUUUUUGUUUGUUUGUUUGUUUUUUUUUUUUUUUCAAGAAACACCGUUUGUCUCUGGAAAGAGGGGUCAAGUGUGCACCAGACUGCCUUGAGAAGUAAUUAAGCUUGGGCUGUUUCAUUUCACAGCGUCCCAUCU
This 2871-nucleotide long non-coding RNA is filed under the name Mus caroli (Ryukyu mouse). Its description in RNAcentral is "lncRNA (MGP_CAROLIEiJ_G0005382.1)". Lineage: Eukaryota; Metazoa; Chordata; Mammalia; Rodentia; Muridae. The record is from RNAcentral.